Molecule: long non-coding RNA, 738 nt
Organism: Phyllostomus hastatus (greater spear-nosed bat)
Lineage: Eukaryota; Metazoa; Chordata; Mammalia; Chiroptera; Phyllostomidae
Exons: 4
Source: RefSeq, a predicted model, not a curated record
CGCGUGCCGCUGAGCCCCGUGGCCUUUCGGGUAGCGGGUAGUGCGUGUUGCCUGCGCCUCUGCUCCUGGCCGCGACGAAGUCCGUGGGGAGGGGACUAGAAAGAGCAUCGAGCUGGGAGGGGAUGGUCCAGAGAAGCUGCCACUGCCACCUUGUAUGCCAUGUUCUCACUCUCGCAAACAUGAGAUUUUACUUUUGGCUUCAAAAGGAGUCCAGAAGUAAACUGACAGCCUAAAAUAAUUCAGAUUUAUCAGCAAGGCUACUUUGAGAAGCAGUACAAACAAGUUCAAUGAGGAAAUGCCUAAGAGUUCCUCUUGGAUGGAAAAGCACAUGCAAACAGUGUAUAAAUGAUUACUGAGACAUGCAGAACUAAUCAUAAAUAAGCUAUACAGCAUUUUUAUUGAAAAGAGAGAGAAAGGGAGAGAAACUUGAUGCAAGAGAGAAGUAUUGAUUGGCUGCCUCCCACACACGCCUAUACUGGGGAUUGUAGCAGCCCAGACUGGGGAUCGCAGGCACCCGCACCUAGACCGGUUGAAUCUGCAGCCUAGGUACGUGCCCUGACCGGGAAUUAAACCUGCAACCUUCUGGUUAAAGGAGGACACUCCAACCAACUGAACCCCACUGGCCAGGGCUAUCCAGAUAUUUUAAAUGAAGAAAGUACAGUUUGUUCAGAGUAAAAUGUGAUCCAAUGGACUAAAUAAAAACAAUUUUGCUUGGCCUAAUUAAAAUCUGUAUUUGAA